This 398-nucleotide unclassified non-coding RNA is filed under the name fungal sp. RNAcentral describes it as "partial internal transcribed spacer region". The stretch from base 1 to 46 matches the Rfam family "Eukaryotic small subunit ribosomal RNA", at positions 1786 to 1831 of the family's 1831-position model. The record is from RNAcentral. Lineage: Eukaryota; Fungi.
AAGUCGUAACAAGGUUUCCGUAGGUGAACCUGCGGAAGGAUCAUUAACACGUAUCCAAACGUUAAACCCCUCUGUGAACCUUCACCUGUACUCGUACGUCCGUUAGAAAAAGCAGCAAUCCCUGGUAAAUCAUCGCCGAACAGUUUUCGAUUCAGGGAUGUCUGCAAGGAGCGUGCAUGUUGUGCGAGCAAGUGGCCUGGCAUCCCCAAGCAGUUAGUGUCUGAAAGUGUCAUUAACUGUGUAAGGAUGACGCAGUCACGAUCGUUGGAGGCCCACACGGCCGACGACCGGGUCACUGGGCGCAAGCCCCCCUAUAACAAACGCUGCUAAUCGCGGCCGCGAUAAUACGCAGUCGACCAAAAACCGAACAACUGUUAACAAUGGAUAUCUUGGUUCUC